GACGAACGCUGGCGGCGCGCCUAACACAUGCAAGUCGAACGAGCGAGAGAGAGCUUGCUUUCUCGAGCGAGUGGCGAACGGGUGAGUAACGCGUGAGGAACCUGCCUCAAAGAGGGGGACAACAGUUGGAAACGACUGCUAAUACUGCAUAAGCCCACGGCUCGGCAUCGAGCAGGGGGAAAAGGAGCAAUCCGCUUUGAGAUGGCCUCGCGUCCGAUUAGCUAGUUGGUGAGGUAACGGCCCACCAAGGCGACGAUCGGUAGCCGGACUGAGAGGUUGAACGGCCACAUUGGGACUGAGACACGGCCCAGACUCCUACGGGAGGCAGCAGUGGGGAAUAUUGCACAAUGGGGGAAACCCUGAUGCAGCGACGCCGCGUGGAGGAAGAAGGUCUUCGGAUUGUAAACUCCUGUUGUUGGGGAAGAUAAUGACGGUACCCAACAAGGAAGUGACGGCUAACUACGUG
Molecule: ribosomal RNA, 466 nt
Filed under: uncultured bacterium
Lineage: Bacteria
Description: partial 16S ribosomal RNA
Rfam family: Bacterial small subunit ribosomal RNA
Source: RNAcentral